UCGAAUUUAGAUUAAUACGAAAAUUAAUUCACGACUUUAGCAAAAUUCUGAUAAAUUUAAAAGGGUAAUGAUACACUUACCACUCUUUUACCACUAUUUUACCGCUUGUAGUGGUAAGGCUAUCCUUAUUCAAUUUAAAAUGGGCGAAAUUUGUCUCUCUCUUCCCUUCCCUGUGAAAAAUUCUAAGUUCCCUCCCGAGCUCUGGUCUCUCUUCCUCUCUCCCGCCUCGAUUUCAUCCUCUCUAUCGUUGUUCUCGUGAUAAAAAUCGAUCUCCCGUGCGUCGUCUCUCUUUUCCCUCUCCUAUGAAAUUUUCUAACUUCCCUCCCGAGCUCCUCUAUCUUCCUCUUUCCCGUCUCGAUUUCAUCUUCUCUCUCGGCGUCCCGUGAUCCUCUCUCUUGCGUUUGUACACCAAAAUCCAGGAUAACGUCAAAGAGACACCUCACCUAAUUCUUGAUCUGCAGCCACAUCACGGGAGAAGCAAGAUGUGAAUUCUUCAUAUGGGCAAAAAUACUUCAAGUUGAUAGAUGAGAAAAUUAUCACAAGGGAAUAUACAAUUCAGAAGAGGGAGGAUGAUGUAUUAUUGCACGAGUAAACUGAGAGAGAGAGAGAGAGAGAGAGAGAGAGAGAGAGAGAGAGAGAGAGAGAUAUCUUUGCAAGCUUGAUAGUGAAUUUCGAAAGCCAAUCAUUGUAAAUAGAUAUGCACAUAUAUUAUUGUAUCUGUACUGGAAUUUGGUUUGGAUCAACAAUAUAGAGCAUAUGUCAAUAGUUA
Long non-coding RNA from Carya illinoinensis, 769 nucleotides. RefSeq lists it as uncharacterized. NCBI's taxonomy places the organism in Eukaryota, Viridiplantae, Streptophyta, Magnoliopsida, Fagales, Juglandaceae. The record is from RefSeq and is a predicted model, not a curated record. The transcript has 2 exons.